RNAcentral lists this transfer RNA (71 nucleotides) under Stenotrophomonas sp. 364. RNAcentral describes it as "tRNA-Pro". The record is from RNAcentral. Lineage: Bacteria; Pseudomonadati; Pseudomonadota; Gammaproteobacteria; Lysobacterales; Lysobacteraceae.
CGGGAUGCGCGCAGCAGGCCCGCUGCCUGGGGGGCAGAGGGUCGUCGGUUCAAAUCCGGCCGUCCCGACCA